UACAGGGGGGGCAAGCGUUGUUCGGAAUUACUGGGCGUAAAGGGCUCGUAGGCGGCCAACUAAGUCCGACGUGAAAUCCCAAGGCUUAACUUUGGAACUGCGUCGGAUACUGGAUGGCUUGAAUUCGGGAGAGGGAUGCAGAAUUCCAGGUGUAGCGGUGAAAUGCGUAGAUAUCUGGAGGAAUACCGGUGGCGAAGGCGGCAUCCUGGACCGACAUUGACGCUGAGGAGCGAAAGCGUGGGGAGCGAACAGG
This 253-nucleotide ribosomal RNA is filed under the name uncultured bacterium. RNAcentral describes it as "partial 16S ribosomal RNA". It matches the Rfam family "Bacterial small subunit ribosomal RNA", at positions 524 to 776 of the family's 1533-position model. The record is from RNAcentral.